Pelobates cultripes (western spadefoot toad) is the source of this 255-nucleotide non-coding RNA. NCBI's taxonomy places the organism in Eukaryota, Metazoa, Chordata, Amphibia, Anura, Pelobatidae. The record is from the annotation of a GenBank genome assembly.
CAGAGAUUCCCUGGAUUGGGACAUGAUCAGUAUGUCGUCCAGGUAGACGAUCAGUCGCACCCCACGGGUACGAAGGUAAGCCAUGACCGGCUUCAUGAGUUUGGUGAAACACCAAGGGGCCGACGAGAGGCCGAACGGCAGGCAAGUGAAGCGCCAGCGUCGACCAUGCCAUGUGAAGUGGAGGUAAUCCCUGCAGCUCAACGCUAUGGGGACUGUAAAGUAUGCGUCCUUCAGAUCCAACUUGGCCAACCAAUC